Molecule: long non-coding RNA, 1769 nt
Organism: Acanthopagrus latus (yellowfin seabream)
Lineage: Eukaryota; Metazoa; Chordata; Actinopteri; Spariformes; Sparidae
Exons: 3
Source: RefSeq, a predicted model, not a curated record
CACCUGCGCUGCAUCUUCCUCAUUAGCCUUCCCCUCCCUCCAGUGUUUUCCAGCUUUUCUAGCCUGUCAGCCCCUUUGUUGGUCCGUCUGUUCAGUUCUCAUCCUCACAUAACCCCUGUUAUCCUGUGUCUUUUCGGUCCUCAUGUGCUCCGGUAUCAUCAAACCUCGCUUCCUGUGUUGAAUCUAUCUGCAUGUGAUGGUACGGACCGACCACAAGUGAGCCUGAGCUCCCUGGUGUAAACUUCCAUCGUGUUAUCCGACUACCGCCUGAUCCAGUUCCUGCCUUCAGCCCACUCCUUGUCGGGUUUGUUUGCCAGGCUUCGCACGACCGAUGCGUUGCAGUACCAGAGAGUUUCGGUCAGAAUUACGUGUGAUGUCUUUCUUCUGAUUUUUUCACCUCUGGCUAGCCUUAGGAAGGCUUUGCUGUUCAAUUUCAACAUGCAUUUUUUAUUCAGCAUGAUGGUAGCAGGAAACUCUUGCCGAGGCCAGAGAGAAAAAGAAAGACCGAAUUUGGUCAACAUUUCUCCAAAGUCAAAAAAAGAUUUUACAGAGACGGAAAAGAGUGCACGUCAGUCCAGAAGACUGUUAUUUACACAACAUCCACCUCGCUGCAUCCCAGGAUAUCUCUCUCUCUCUGUCUCUCCAAGCUGCCCUUCUCAUCCCCGCCUCAGCUAUCGGGCCCCAUACAUCAGCCCGCUGCAGGUUUGGACAGGACUGCUGAUCACGGGGGCAGAAAUCUAUCUGGGACAACGGACUCACCGGCAGUCUGCAGCGUUUAAGGUGUGGCUGAAUAGAAACAGAGAGGUGAAAGAGAGAGGAGAAGGAAGAGGGAGGGGUUGAAUGCACACACAAGGAAUGGAAAUGUUGUCAGACUUUGCCAAGGGAGGAGCUGCAUCCAAGGAUUGUAAGUUUUUUUUUUUUUACUGGAAAGCACCAUUUGCCCAGGAGUUGUCAGGCCGCACUCGAACGCCUCAGGAUCUCAAUCUGCAGUCUGUUUUGUAAUUAUUUUUCUUGUGAAGUUAUUCGGUAAGGAAAUAAAUCCAACUCUUAUCUAACGGCCGUGCCUGCGAGCUCCCACUAACUGCUGAAUCAUCACCGAGCGCUGAUGAGAUUAGCACUAAGCCCCCAUGUUCAGUCAAGCACCGACAAGUCAUCUGCACCUCGGGGACAGCGGAGGUAAGCGGUGUUAAUAACAAACGCACAGAACGUCGCGCGCUGACUGUCAAGCAUCAGCUGUUUAGACCCCUAAUCCCUCGACAUUAGGAAUAAACUACGUCCUCAGCAGGAGCAUUUCAGGUAGUCAUGCCUCGACAUGGCUGGAAGGGACGAACAAUGGGAAAUAUGGAUGAGGCUAAUGGGAUGCAGUGGGGAUGUAGAAAAAAGGUAGGAACAUUUGAAGAGGAAGAAGUUGCUGAAAGAUGUUUCAGUUCCGAUUUUAACGAGGCACUUGUGGUAAAUCUUCAGAUUUCAGUUUGUUUUGCCUUAAUACCAGGGGUGGACUCAGGAUGUUUGAGGGGCAGGGGCAAAAAAAAAAUAAAUCUAGAGAGGGGCACCAGUGUGCAGCACAUCAUGAUAUAUUUAUAGUAAAGAGAGGGCACUUCACCACACUACAGGACACUUACCCUCAUGUUUGAUGUUUUGCUUUUCAUUUCCUCCCUUUGUUUCGUUUCCACUCAUCUGAGCAUCGUAGCUGCUAAUUAGAGGGGCUUUUGGUUGUUACUUUGUUUUCGCUUUUGUGUUUUCUGCUUUGUAUUUUGUCUGCUUUUUUG